Molecule: ribosomal RNA, 117 nt
Filed under: Acidobacteriota bacterium
Lineage: Bacteria; Pseudomonadati; Acidobacteriota
Also listed under: 1 other name
Source: RNAcentral
UCCGGUGGUCAUAGAGAGAGGGUCACACCCGUUCCCAUUCCGAACACGGCAGUUAAGCCUCUCAUCGCCAAUGAUACUGCGCGGGCAACUGUGUGGGAAAGUAGGACGCCGCCGGGA